Molecule: ribosomal RNA, 120 nt
Filed under: uncultured bacterium
Lineage: Bacteria
Description: partial 16S ribosomal RNA
Rfam family: Bacterial small subunit ribosomal RNA
Source: RNAcentral
CAUGCCGUAAACGAUGAAUGCUAAGUGUUGGAGGGUUUCCGCCCUUCAGUGCUGCAGCUAACGCAUUAAGCAUUCCGCCUGGGGAGUACGACCGCAAGGUUGAAACUCAAAAGAAUUGAC